CACAGAGGAGCUUGCUCCUUGGGUGGCGAGUGGCGGACGGGUGAGGAAUACAUCGGAAUCUACUUUUUCGUGGGGGAUAACGUAGGGAAACUUACGCUAAUACCGCAUACGACCUACGGGUGAAAGCAGGGGACCUUCGGGCCUUGCGCGAUUGAAUGAGCCGAUGUCGGAUUAGCUAGUUGGCGGGGUAAAGGCCCACCAAGGCGACGAUCCGUAGCUGGUCUGAGAGGAUGAUCAGCCACACUGGAACUGAGACACGGUCCAGACUCCUACGGGAGGCAGCAGUGGGGAAUAUUGGACAAUGGGCGCAAGCCUGAUCCAGCCAUACCGCGUGGGUGAAGAAGGCCUUCGGGUUGUAAAGCCCUUUUGUUGGGAAAGAAAUCCAGCCGGCUAAUACCCGGUUGGGAUGACGGUACCCAAAGAAUAAGCACCGGCUAACUUCGUGCCAGCAGCCGCGGUAAUACGAAGGGUGCAAGCGUUACUCGGAAUUACUGGGCGUAAAGCGUGCGUAGGUGGUCGUUUAAGUCCGUUGUGAAAGCCCUGGGCUCAACCUGGGAACUGCAGUGGAUACUGGGCGACUAGAGUGUGGUAGAGGGUAGCGGAAUUCCUGGUGUAGCAGUGAAAUGCGUAGAGAUCAGGAGGAACAUCCAUGGCGAAGGCAGCUACCUGGACCAACACUGACACUGAGGCACGAAAGCGUGGGGAGCAAACAGGAUUAGAUANCCUGGUAGUCCACGCCCUAAACGAUGCGAACUGGAUGUUGGGUGCAAUUUGGCACGCAGUAUCGAAGC
Molecule: ribosomal RNA, 791 nt
Filed under: uncultured Stenotrophomonas sp.
Lineage: Bacteria; Pseudomonadati; Pseudomonadota; Gammaproteobacteria; Lysobacterales; Lysobacteraceae
Description: bacterial SSU rRNA
Rfam family: Bacterial small subunit ribosomal RNA
Source: RNAcentral